Molecule: long non-coding RNA, 2452 nt
Organism: Neopsephotus bourkii (Bourke's parrot)
Lineage: Eukaryota; Metazoa; Chordata; Aves; Psittaciformes; Psittacidae
Exons: 3
Source: RefSeq, a predicted model, not a curated record
UGUCCUAGGCGGAUCGCCGUCUCUGGCGGGAGAGGCCGGGGUCUGUCGGUAGUGCUUGCAGGGGACAGACAGGGCUCGACUCCAGGUAUCCGUCGGGACCCAGGGCAGCCGGUUACUGGCUCGUGACUUCAUGUGCCAACUUGAACCUGUGUUUCAGGGAUGGCUUCCACAAACCCAACACUCAUCGUCCUGUGUUACUACAUGGCUGAGCAGGUGGGAAGGGAAGCCAAGUCUUAGUGGCCAGCCAGAAGUCUGGUUCCCCAAGUUAACAGCAUCCUAGUAAUUUGCACUGAUUCACUGAGCAUUGCUAAUCUGUUAAUAAUGCUCAGUGGAAGCUCUAAUCACACUGCAUACCUGGCAGCCUCAGUGAAUUUCGUGUGUCUUAGAGUACUUACAUAAGCACUUGAACUGAAGGAUUUAGCUGACCCACAUAUUUCAUGGAGUUUUGCUGAAGCACUGGGACACCUUCAGCAUUUCCUGAAGCCUUCAGUACUUUCAUAACACCUUUGUGAGGAAGUGCCACCUGCAAGUAGAAGAGAGCCACUCAGACAUCAGAUGCCUCAGUCAGAGGUAACAGAACUGUCACAUGGUGGGGCUGAGGAUGCACUCUGACCUGCCAGCCCCACUCUGCCAUGUCAGUCUUAUCAAACCACACAGGACUGUUCUUUAAGAACUUGUUCCAGGAGUCACAGUUCUUUCCGGACAAUAAAAUACAUAGUAAUGUAGUUCACGAGACCAGCAAAUGAUAUACUUGUUCAGGAAAGUAAUUGUUCAUCUCAGGACAUGUUAAUUUUAUUUUUAGAAAGGUGUGUUCAUACAGUUUGUGUAAUUUUUUUUUUCAAAGCAAAGCUGGUUUUGUUUAAUUUUCUAGCAGACAGAAUUCGGAAUAACAGACAAUAGAUACACACCUGUCAUCUCCAGAAAAAAAGUGAGACUGAGGUUUCACAGCAUGUAGGGAUGGAGUUUGUUUACUCUUUUCAUCUGUUGUCACCUUCCCUUUUGCCAGUAAUUUUAGAUGAGGAGGAAGUGAACUGAUAAAUAUAUGCAGUCUCAUUACAGUCUUUCCUGAUAACAGCACUAGUAGGUUAUGGAUGAAGUCAGUAAAAGCUGGCUCAUUGAUUAGAAAGUCAGAAGACUUCUCACAUACACUUGCAGCAAACCUUGCACUGAGGACUAAAAAUGGAGUGGUUUACAUCGCUCUUUUCUCAGACAUCUCCUCAUGGUAAUAUCCAAAGAUAUCCCAGCAGUGAUAUAACUGACACAAUAGUUACUGCCUCCUCAUCUACAUUCAUCUUCCCAAAAGAGUUUUUAUUUUGGUAAGUAGGGGAUGUUUUUAAUAUUCUUACCAGAAGUAAGAAAACAGGUGGACUAUUUAAGAGGGGAGGACAGUCACGUAGGACAGGAAAAAGAACUUCAGUUUGAUAUGCAAUUAAUUGGGGGCACUGUCAGCUAUUUUAAAAUGUAUGGUGGGAGGGAGGAUUUCCUGCUCGUAUGGAGGAAGCAACACUUGACAACAGAAACAUAAACUUCAUCCUCUUAAAUCUAAUGGAAAAAAAACCCCCAAAAGAGUGGCACACUGUUUGGGAGAGUACAAGAUUGAACCAUGUAAUGACUGUACACAAAAUGAACACAAAUUGAUGGGCGAAUGCUUUAUACAGUAUUUUCACUACCACUGGUGAUACUAAUGCAGAACUAGAAAACUGGUGCCACAGCUCAAUAUAUGUAUAUUCUUAGUACAGUGCUACGCAAGACAACAGUCCUGUUUUGUCUGGAAGGGCAAAAUGUGAAAAAGCUAACAUAAAAUUUCUUCUGCCUCUUUAACAUUUCUCUACCCACAGUUUUAGUACUUGGAUUCCUAACCUUGUACAGCUCCAUACCUGCAUUUCAUAGAUUACUAGAGUAACAAUCUGCAUUGAUAAAAAAUGAUAAGAUAAAGAUAAAAAGGCAGCAGACCACAAAAUACGUGUCCAGCCCUGAGUUCCCCUUACUUCCAACUGUGAGGCACUUCUACCACAUUUCCUUUUUUUUUGCCUCCACACUUCCUUUUCAGCACUGUUCACAGUUGGAUGUAGACAAAAUCAGGUGUUAUCCCUAUGACGCAGAUAAACCAGAGCAGGAAAGACACUCUUCCCCACCUCAUCUUUUAGAGUGCAAAAAAUACUCACUGGUGAGCCAGCCCCGGGGUCAGGAGUUUCAGAUUGGUUUGGACAGAUGUCUGAAGCUGCAUAGCCCAGUGACCUUUCCUGCUAAUUCCAAGUAUUUCCUUCUUUUUAUGUCUUCCUACAGGCUACCUCUUCUCUCCUCUGGUUCUUCCAUUUCCUCCCCCUCUCUGAUGCACCCUCUAUCACCAGGCAUCAGCAGCUGGGUUGGAUUCCACUCCUGCAAUGAAGGGACACCUCUUCCCACUGCUGGCCCUUGGCCAUCUGGUGCUGCUGGCACUUUGAGGGUCAUC